Molecule: small nuclear RNA, 124 nt
Organism: Heterocephalus glaber (naked mole-rat)
Lineage: Eukaryota; Metazoa; Chordata; Mammalia; Rodentia; Bathyergidae
Gene: U2
Rfam family: U2 spliceosomal RNA
About the family: U2 is a small nuclear RNA (snRNA) component of the spliceosome (involved in pre-mRNA splicing). Complementary binding between U2 snRNA (in an area lying towards the 5' end but 3' to hairpin I) and the branchpoint sequence (BPS) of the intron results the bulging out of an unpaired adenosine, on the BPS, which initiates a nucleophilic attack at the intronic 5' splice site, thus starting the first of two transesterification reactions that mediate splicing.
Source: Ensembl
AUCGCUUCUCGGCCUUUUGGCUAAGAUCAAGUGUAGUACAUGUUUGCAAUAUAUAGUGAUCGUAUUCAUGGUGGGGGGUGCUACAUGUAUACAGCAUAUCUUAAUUCUUUGUACUUUAUCCUCU